GACGAACGCUGGCGGCGUGCCUAAUACAUGCAAGUAGAACGCACAGUUUAUACCGUAGCUUGCUACACCAUAGACUGUGAGUUGCGAACGGGUGAGUAACGCGUAGGUAACCUGCCUGGUAGCGGGGGAUAACUAUUGGAAACGAUAGCUAAUACCGCAUAAUAUUAAUUAUUGCAUGAUAAUUAAUUGAAAGGUGCAAUUGCACCACUACCAGAUGGACCUGCGUUGUAUUAGCUAGUAGGUGAGGUAACGGCUCACCUAGGCGACGAGACAUAGCCGACCUGAGAGGGUGAUCGGCCACACUGGGACUGAGACACGGCCCAGACUCCUACGGGAGGCAGCAGUAGGGAAGCUUCGGCAAUGGACGAAAGUCUGACCGAGCAACGCCGCGUGAGGGAAGAAGGUUUUCGGAUCGUAAAGCUCUGUUGUAAGAGAAGAACGGGUGUGAGAGUGGAAAGUUCACACUGUGACGGUAUCUUACCAGAAAGGGACGGCUAACUACGUG
This 505-nucleotide ribosomal RNA is filed under the name uncultured bacterium. RNAcentral describes it as "partial 16S ribosomal RNA". It matches the Rfam family "Bacterial small subunit ribosomal RNA", at positions 28 to 507 of the family's 1533-position model. The record is from RNAcentral.